ACUCGCCCAUUCACCCAUCAGUGGACUUUGGGUUAUCUCCACCCUUGGCUCUUGUGAAUGUUGCUGUGAGGGGCACGGGGGUACCCGUAUCUCCUCAAGGCCCUGCACUCAGUUUCUGUGUGCAAACACCCAGAAGUAGACUUGCUGGCUCACAUGAUGCUUCCUGCUCUUGAACAUCGGACUCCAAGUUCUUCUGUUUUGGAACUGGGACUGGCUUUCCUUGCUCCUCAGCCUGCAGACGGCCUAUUGUGGGACCCUGUGAUUGUGCAAGGGGAAGUCACGAACACCACACAGUCCUGCAAGCUUCUUAGAGUCCUUGUCGUCAGCCCAGGGCCCUUGGCUCACUUCUCAGGAGGUGAGUGGAAGCCACGGUCUUCCCGCCUUUAGUUCUGAGAACAGGGUCCACUGACCCCACCCGUCUCCUGGGAGCUGCCGGGUGGAAGAUGACCACCUGUUUCUUCCUCGCAAGCCCUGGGCCUGAAGAGCUAUGCAGUGGGGACGCACACCCCAGGGGCGCACAAAAUGUUUCCAGGAAAAUAUUCAGCUUUGCUACUACUCAGCAGACAGGGGGACCGUGGCACCCCCGGCCUCAGCCAGACCGUCCGCUGCACACCUGCAUGGCACUGACUGAACAUGACGUGUCUGAUCAACACGGGGCCAUGCCUCCGAGAACGCGACUGCAGCUCUCCCUGCGCCUCUGUCCCAUCUUCAGCUACAGAACCGGAGCUCCAUAUGCGGGCCUGGGGGUCAUCUGAAUGUAAACAUCACUUUGGAGUCACCAUACUCUCAUAAUCUACACUGUUUUAAUAAAAUCUUAGUAAUUCUCUGUAAG
Molecule: long non-coding RNA, 832 nt
Organism: Pan troglodytes (chimpanzee)
Lineage: Eukaryota; Metazoa; Chordata; Mammalia; Primates; Hominidae
Exons: 4
Source: RefSeq, a predicted model, not a curated record